AUGGAUGUUGAUGAACGAAAGGUGCUCUACCAUAUAUGUUGUUGCUCCCAAUACUUGCGCGCAGAGCACAACCAGGCUUGCUACAACAAACGAGCACAUGCAGCACACGUCGCACUGGCAAGUACGAAGAAAGGCUCCUGCCCUAGCGGUGAACCUCACCUCCAACACGACGUCAUGAACGCGCAUGGCAGAGCGCUGGCCAGCCCAACUGUAGGUAAGUUUGAUUCUCCAGUUUCGGUGGUAAGUGCCUUCGGUAGCGAAAAAUGCCAAACGGAGACCGAGCUCCAUGGAGGCCUUGAUUUGAAAACUUCAACAUUCAUACUUUUCAGUUUCAAAAAAUUCUGA
RNAcentral lists this ribosomal RNA (345 nucleotides) under Triticum aestivum (bread wheat). RNAcentral describes it as "partial small subunit ribosomal RNA". The record is from RNAcentral. Lineage: Eukaryota; Viridiplantae; Streptophyta; Magnoliopsida; Poales; Poaceae.